RNAcentral lists this ribosomal RNA (584 nucleotides) under uncultured Spirochaeta sp. RNAcentral's name for it is "bacterial SSU rRNA". It matches the Rfam family "Bacterial small subunit ribosomal RNA", at positions 334 to 914 of the family's 1533-position model. Lineage: Bacteria; Pseudomonadati; Spirochaetota; Spirochaetia; Spirochaetales; Spirochaetaceae. The record is from RNAcentral.
GAUUCCUACGGGAGGCAGCAGCUAAGAAUCUUCCGCAAUGGACGCAAGUCUGACGGAGUGACGCCGCGUGAACGAUGAAGGCCGUGAGGUUGUAAAGUUCUUUUCCGGGGGAGGAAUAAGGAUGGCAGGGAAUGGCCGUCUGAUGACGUGAACCUGGGAAUAAGCCCCGGCUAACUACGUGCCAGCAGCCGCGGUAACGCGUAGGGGGCGAGCGUUGUUCGGAAUUAUUGGGCGUAAAGGGUGCGCAGGCGGCAUGCCAAGUCUGGUGUGAAAGGCCCCGGCUCAACCGGGGAAACGCACUGGAAACUGGUGUGCUAGAGUACAGGAGGGGGAGUUGGAAUUCCAGGUGUAGGGGUGAAAUCUGUAGAUAUCUGGAAGAACACCGGUGGCGAAGGCGAACUUCUGGCCAUGUACUGACGCUGAGGCACGAAGGCGUGGGGAGCAAACAGGUUUAGAUACCCUGGUAGUCCACGCAGUAAACGAUGUACACUAGGUGGUGGGUGGUAGCACUCAGUACCGAAGCAAACGCAUUAAGUGUACCGCCUGGGGAGUAUGCUCGCAAGGGUGAAACUCAAAGGAAUGAC